AAUGUCAAAGGCAUGAUUCCAGUUACAAUUUCAGUUUCAGUGCUUUCUGUGCACUUGGACCACAUGUCAGCGUAUACAAAUCCCCCCAAAACGGUAUUUCACGAACACGACAAAGGCUAUGAUUUACAUGAUACGAACGAACCGCUGUAGUCGGUGACAACAAUAACAAAAACAAAAACAACAACAGUAACA
Long non-coding RNA from Drosophila arizonae, 192 nucleotides. NCBI's taxonomy places the organism in Eukaryota, Metazoa, Arthropoda, Insecta, Diptera, Drosophilidae. The record is from RefSeq and is a predicted model, not a curated record.